AGUGAACGCUGGCGGUAGGCCUAACACAUGCAAGUCGAACGGCAGCACAGUAAGAGCUUGCUCUUACGGGUGGCGAGUGGCGGACGGGUGAGGAAUACAUCGGAAUCUACUUUUUCGUGGGGGAUAACGUAGGGAAACUUACGCUAAUACCGCAUACGACCUACGGGUGAAAGCAGGGGAUCUUCGGACCUUGCGCGAUUGAAUGAGCCGAUGUCGGAUUAGCUAGUUGGCGUGGUAAAGGCCCACCAAGGCGACGAUCCGUAGCUGGUCUGAGAGGAUGAUCGGCCACACUGGAACUGAGACACGGUCCAGACUCCUACGGGAGGCAGCAGUGGGGAAUAUUGGACAAUGGGCGCAAGCCUGAUCCAGCCAUACCGCGUGGGUGAAGAAGGCCUUCGGGUUGUAAAGCCCUUUUGUUGGGAAAGAAAAGCAGCAGGUUAAUCCCCCGCUGUUCUGACGGUACCCAAAGAAUAAGCACCGGCUAACUUCGUG
Molecule: ribosomal RNA, 492 nt
Filed under: uncultured bacterium
Lineage: Bacteria
Description: partial 16S ribosomal RNA
Rfam family: Bacterial small subunit ribosomal RNA
Source: RNAcentral